CAAUUAACUGACCCUUUUUUUCUUGUGUGGAUGUGUUCAUGGUUUUUCUGACACAGACUUCCUCUGCUUAUUUCUGUUAUUUUUUGGACAUUGUCACCUUAUUUUUGGAUAUUCUACUCUACCGGCUCCUGACUGAUUCAGCACAUCAGUGGGAGUGAGGCUUGCAAGAGCUGCCCUCUUGGCCUUGGAGCUGCUGUCAUAUCUCUGGCCUGCCAGCUAACCCCUCAGCGGGAAAUCAAAUACACUUAAUGGAGAGAGGAAACAUUACCACUGUAAUCGAACCUGGAAUGAGAUAAUACUUUCACCUUAUGGAGCCAUCAAGGGAAAUCAUUGUCCAGAAGAUGUGCUGUGUUGCACCAUCAGUUUCAGGCAGACGCAUUAGACCAGAUGUGGACACAUACUGCUGGGGCAGAA
Notolabrus celidotus (New Zealand spotty) is the source of this 414-nucleotide long non-coding RNA. RefSeq lists it as uncharacterized. The transcript is spliced from 3 exons. Lineage: Eukaryota; Metazoa; Chordata; Actinopteri; Labriformes; Labridae. The record is from RefSeq and is a predicted model, not a curated record.